CUGAACGAGACUACAUAACAGUAGCGUCUUAACAAACACAGGAUCAAUAACACCUAGGGAAAGAACCAAAGGGAUUGACAUAUAUGGGGAAGAUAAUCAGGCAGGUGAUUGAGUCCAGGUGAGUCUGAUGAUGCGCGUAACGAUGGUGACAUGUGUGCGUAAAAAUGAGUAGCCUGACGACCUCGAGCGCCGGAGAGGGAGUAUACGUGACGGUUCUGUUACAAAUUAUAUACUUACUCAUGAUAUACUUCCGCCAGAAUGGGACGGUGACCUUUCCUCCAUCCUUCUCCAUUUGAUUCAUCCUUCAUCACAAGGCCGCAAAAGACCAGGCAAGAUGAAUCAGUAUCCAGGAUCACCUUGAUGCGAUUGACCAGAGCCGCCAAACAUAUCUUAUUGCAGUCGGGACCAGGAAAAGCAGCAUCCAUGCUUACUUCAUCAUCCUGAACAAGCGAGCCCUGCACGUCAACGAGCGCUCUUGGUGCCUUCGAUAAGCUUUAAGACUCACUUUGCAUUUGGUACUGCUUACAAUGUUGCGCAACAUAUACACCUUCAUACAGACAACUGUAUACAACCUAGACAUUGGGAAGGUUAAGGUGACUCCAACGGUUGCUGAGCUCAAAGCUAGACUCCUGCAUUAAUGCAGAUUAAUUUAUGAUGAUAUGUUUUGUUUGCCAUGCUAGUACCAACUUGCUCGUGAGGCAUGGAAUGUGCCCUUAUAGAACUGACUAAAAUGUGGUCAAGCAGAUUGUUGUCAUGUAUUUUGUCAAAUUUUGUUAAACUUAACUUGGAUGCUAAUACAGCCGUUGAUAAUCAGCCAAGUAAUUGUGAUUUUCUUUCAAAUUGUAGUUGUAACCAUGUACCAAUAUCUAACAAGAACACACGAUGUGUGCAUCUGCUAUUGCACAGCUGCUGGUGUAGGUCAGACGACUGUAAAUAGUUAAUCAUCCAUGGAAGAAGCAGUUCAAGAGCUACAGGGUCAAGCUAAAGCAACCCCUCUUACAUGUAA
Molecule: non-coding RNA, 1006 nt
Organism: Oncorhynchus mykiss (rainbow trout)
Lineage: Eukaryota; Metazoa; Chordata; Actinopteri; Salmoniformes; Salmonidae
Source: RefSeq, a predicted model, not a curated record